This 273-nucleotide ribosomal RNA is filed under the name uncultured bacterium. RNAcentral describes it as "partial 16S ribosomal RNA". It matches the Rfam family "Bacterial small subunit ribosomal RNA", at positions 523 to 796 of the family's 1533-position model. The record is from RNAcentral.
AUACGGAGGGUGCAAGCGUUACUCGGAAUCACUGGGCGUAAAGCGCGCGCAGGCGGCUUGAUAAGUUGGAUGUGAAAGCCUACGGCUCAACCGUAGAACUGCAUCCAAAACUGUCAAGCUAGAGUCUGGGAGGGGAAGAUGGAAUUAGUUGUGUAGGGGUAAAAUCCGUAGAGAUAACUAGGAAUACCAAAAGCGAAGGCGAUCUUCUGGAACAGUACUGACGCUGAGGCGCGAAAGCGUGGGAGCAAACAGGAGUAGAUACCCCAGUAGUCC